GUGGCGCACGGCUGAGUAACACGUGGGAACCCGCCCCCCGGUGGGGGAUAACGCGACGAAAGUUGCGCUAAUCCCGCAUACGUCCCCAGGGAGAAAGCGCAGUGCGCGCCGGGGGAGGGGCCUUCGGCCAUCAGGUCGUUGGUGGGGUAAGGGCCUACCAAGCCGAUGACGGGUAGCUGGUCUGGGAGGAUGACCAGCCAGACUGGGACUUAGACACGGCCCAGACUCCUACGGGAGGCAGCAGCAAGGAAUUUUCGGCAAUGGGCGCAAGCUGACCGAGCAACGCCGCGUGCGGGAUGACGCCCUUCGGGUUGUAAACCGCUUUUCGGGGGGACGAUGAUGACGGUACCCCCGGAACAAGCCCCGGCUAACUCUGUGCCAGCAGCCGCGGUAAGACAGAGGGGGCGAGCGUUGUCCGGAGUCACUGGCGUAAAGCGCGCGCAGGCGGCAACCUAAGUGUCGUGUGAAAGCCCCCGGCUCAACCGGGGAGGCCAUGGCAAACUGGGUCGCUCGAGCUGCGGAGAGGCCCCUCGAAUUGCCGGUGUAGCGGUGAAAUGCGUAGAGAUCGGCAGGAAGACCAAGGGGGAAGCCAGGGGGCUGGCCGCAGGCUGACGCUGAGGCGCGACAGCGUGGGGAGCAAACCGGAUUAGAUACCCGGGUAGUCCACGCCGUAAACGAUGACCACUCGGCGUGUGGCGACUAUUGACGUCGCGGCGCGCCCUAGCUCACGCGAUAAGUGGUCCGCCUGGGAACUACGAGCGCAAGCUUAAAACUCAAAGGAAUUGACGGGGGCCCGCACAAGCAGCGGAGCGUGUGGUUUAAUUCGACGCAACCCGCAGAACCUUACCCAGACUGGACAUGACGGUGCAGACGGCGGAAACGUCGUCGCCUCCGAGGGCCCGU
Molecule: ribosomal RNA, 903 nt
Filed under: uncultured Chloroflexaceae bacterium
Lineage: Bacteria; Bacillati; Chloroflexota; Chloroflexia; Chloroflexales; Chloroflexaceae
Description: bacterial SSU rRNA
Rfam family: Bacterial small subunit ribosomal RNA
Source: RNAcentral